This 136-nucleotide unclassified non-coding RNA is filed under the name uncultured fungus. RNAcentral's name for it is "sequence contains ITS1, 5.8S rRNA gene". The record is from RNAcentral. Lineage: Eukaryota; Fungi.
GUAUUAGAUUAUAAUUCAUGUUCCUUUCAGAACAAAGAUUAAUCAGACAAAAUUCAAGUGAAAUAUUUACAGUGCACAAAAGGUGGAUGCAAUGAAGCAUUUAUUAAUGAUCCUUCCGCAGGUUCACCUACGGAAA